RNAcentral lists this non-coding RNA (29 nucleotides) under Rattus norvegicus (Norway rat). Lineage: Eukaryota; Metazoa; Chordata; Mammalia; Rodentia; Muridae. The record is from RNAcentral.
UACUCUUGGGACAGACGUCUUAGGACAGC